AUGGCUGUCCUGGUGCUGCUCCUCUGCCUGGUGAUAUUUCCAAGUUGUGUCUCUUCCCAGAUACAGCUGAAGGAGACAGGACCUGGCCUGGUGGAGCCUUCACAGACCCUGUCUCUCACCUGCACUGUCUCUGGAUUCUCGCUAAACAGCUAUCAUAUACACUGGGUUCGCCAGCCUCCAGGAAAGGGUCUGGAGUGGCUUGGAAUAAUGUGGGCUGGUGGAAGCGCAGAGUACAAUUCAGCUCUCCAGUCCCGAAUCACCAUCAGCAUGGACACCUCCAAAAAUGAAGUCUUCUUAAAAUUGAACAGUGUGCACACUGAAGACACAGCCAUAUAUUACUGUGCCAGAAACACAGUGAAAAAAUUCCAGUUUGAGCCUACACAAAAAACACAACUUAUAGAGACAUCUGGGACCAGCAGAUGGCAUUAA
Molecule: non-coding RNA, 429 nt
Organism: Microtus ochrogaster (prairie vole)
Lineage: Eukaryota; Metazoa; Chordata; Mammalia; Rodentia; Cricetidae
Source: the annotation of a RefSeq genome assembly